UAACCCCAUACAGGAGAUAGAAAACCCAUAAUCCCAUAUAGGAACCCCAUAAUCCCACAUAGGAACCCCAUAAUCCCAUUUAGGAACCCCAUAAUCCCACAAAGGAACCCCAUAAUCCCAUAUAGAAACCCCAUAAUCCCACAGAGAAACACCCAUAAUCCCACAAAGGAACCCAUAAUCCCAUAUAGGAGAUAGAACCCCCAUAAUCCCCCAUCCAUAAGCCAUUUUGGGGUCAUUUUGGGGCCAUUUUAGGGCCAUUUUGGGGUCAUUUUAGGGUCCUUUUAGGGUCAUUUUGGGGCACCAUUCUCCCACCCGUUUGGGGCUGAAUUUUGGGUUGAAUUCAGGCGAUUUUGGUCCAUUUUGGGCAGAUUUGGUGUCAUUUCAGGGCUGCCCUCAGUCACAUCCCACAGCCAUUUUGGGGCCAUUUUAGGGCCAUUUUGGGGUCAUUUUAGGGCCAUUUUGGGGUCCUUUUAGGGUCCUUUUAGGGUCAUUUUGGGGCACCAUUCUCCCAUCCAUUUGGGGCUGAAUUUUGGGUUGAAUUCAGCCAAUUUUGUUCCAUUUUGGGCAGAUUUGGGGUCAUUUCAGUGCUGGGCUGCCCUCAGUCACAUCCCAUAGCCAUUUUGGGGCCAUUUUGGGGUCAUUUUAGGGCCAUUUUGGGGUCAUUUUAGGGUCAUUUUAGGGUCAUUUUGGGGCACCAUUCUCCCAUCCAUUUGGGGCUGAAUUUUGGGUUGAAUUCAGGCGAUUUCGGGUCACUUGGGGCAGAUUUGGGGUCAUUUCAGGGCUGCCCUCAGUCACAUCCCACAGCCAUUUUGGGGCCAUUUUGGGGUCAUUUUGGGGUCCUUUUAGGGUCAUUUUGGGGCACCAUUCUCCCAUCCAUUUGGGGCUGAAAUUUGGGUUGAAUUCAGCCAAUUUUGGUCCAUUUUGGGCGGAUUUGGUGUCAUUUCAGUGCUGGGCUGCCCUCAGUCACAUCCCAUAGCCAUUUUGGGGCCAUUUUGGGGUCAUUUUGGGGUCAUUUUAGGUCCAUUUUGGGGCCAUUUUAGGGUCCUUUUAGGGUCAUUUUGGGGCACCAUUCUCCCUUCCAUUUGGGGCUGAA
This 1093-nucleotide long non-coding RNA is filed under the name Phasianus colchicus (ring-necked pheasant). RNAcentral describes it as "lncRNA (ENSPCLG00000017387.1)". Lineage: Eukaryota; Metazoa; Chordata; Aves; Galliformes; Phasianidae. The record is from RNAcentral.